RNAcentral lists this ribosomal RNA (1548 nucleotides) under Escherichia coli. RNAcentral's name for it is "bacterial SSU rRNA". It matches the Rfam family "Bacterial small subunit ribosomal RNA". Lineage: Bacteria; Pseudomonadati; Pseudomonadota; Gammaproteobacteria; Enterobacterales; Enterobacteriaceae. The record is from RNAcentral.
AAAUUGAAGAGUUUGAUCGUGGCUCAGAUUGAACGCUGGCGGCAGGCCUAACACAUGCAAGUCGAACAUUGGCAGGAAGAAGCUUGCUUCUUUGCUGACGAGUGGCGGACGGGUGAGUAAUGUCUGGGAAACUGCCUGAUGGAGGGGGAUAACUACUGGAAACGGUAGCUAAUACCGCAUAACGUCGCAAGACCAAAGAGGGGGACAGCUAGGACUCUUGCCAUCGGAUGUGCCCAGAUGGGAUUAGCUAGUAGGUGGGGUAACGGCUCACCUAGGCGACGAUCCCUAGCUGGUCUGAGAGGAUGACCAGCCACACUGGAACUGAGACACGGUCCAGACUCCUACGGGAGGCAGCAGUGGGGAAUAUUGCACAAUGGGCGCAAGCCUGAUGCAGCCAUGCCGCGUGUAUGAAGAAGGCCUUCGGGUUGUAAAGUACUUUCAGCGGGGAGGAAGGGAGUAAAGUUAAUACCUUUGCUCAUUGACGUUACCCACCAGAAGAAGCUUCCGGCUUAACUCCGUGCCAGCAGCCGCGGUAAUACGGAGGGUGCAAGCGUUAAUCGGAAUUACUGGGCGUAAAGCGCACGCAGGCGGUUUGUUAAGUCAGAUGUGAAAUCCCCGGGCUCAACCUGGGAACUGCAUCUGAUACUGGCAAGCGAGGUCUCGUAGAGGGGGGUAGGAAUUCCCGGGUGUAGCGGUGAAAUGCGUAGAGAUCUGGAGGAAUAUACCGGUGGCGGCGGCCCCACGGACGAACUUGACGCUCAGGUGCGAAAGCGUGAGCAAACAGAGUUAGAUACCGCGGUAGAAGUCCAUGGCAAACGAUGUCGACUUGGAGGUUGUGCCCUUGAGGCGUGGCUUCCGGAGCUAACGCGUUAAGUCGACCGCCUGGGGAGUACGGCCGCAAGGUUAAAACUCAAAUGAAUUGACGGGGGCCCGCACAAGCGGUGGAGCAUAUGGAAGUUUAAUUCGAUGCAACGCGAAGAACCUUACCUGGUCUUGACAUCCACAGAACUUUCCAGAGAUGGAUUGGUGCCUUCGGGAACUGUGAGACAGGUGCUGCAUGGCUGUCGUCAGCUCGUGUUGUGAAAUGUUGGGUUUAAGUCCGCAACGAGAGCGCAACCCUUAUCCUUUGUUGCCAGCGGUCCGGCCGGGAACUCAAAGGAGACUGCCAGUGAUAAACUGGAGGAGGGUGAGGGAUGACGAUCAGGUCAUCAUGGCCCCACCCGACCGGAGCUACACGUGCUACAAUGGCGCAUACAAAGAGAAGCGACCUCGCGAGAGCAAGCGGACCUCAUAAAGUGCGUCGUAGUCCGGAUUGGAGUCUGCAACUCGACUCCAUGAAGUCGGAAUCGCUAGUAAUCGUGGAUCAGAAUGCCACGGUGAAUACGUUCCCGGGCCUUGUACACACCGCCCGUCACACCAUGGGAGUGGGUUGCAAAAGAAGUAGGUAGCUUAACCUUCGGGAGGGCGCUUACCACUUUGUGAUUCAUGACUGGGGUGAAGUCGUAACAAGGUAACCGUAGGGGAACCUGCGGUUGGAUCACCUCCUUA